Molecule: transfer RNA, 41 nt
Filed under: Bartonella sp. BM51YN
Lineage: Bacteria; Pseudomonadati; Pseudomonadota; Alphaproteobacteria; Hyphomicrobiales; Bartonellaceae
Also listed under: 2 other names
Description: partial tRNA-Ala
Source: RNAcentral
GGGGCCGUAGCUCAGCUGGGAGAGCACCUGCUUUGCAAGCA